Molecule: long non-coding RNA, 1986 nt
Organism: Alexandromys fortis (reed vole)
Lineage: Eukaryota; Metazoa; Chordata; Mammalia; Rodentia; Cricetidae
Exons: 3
Source: RefSeq, a predicted model, not a curated record
GUCAGUUUAUUCGUAUCAACAUCUAAGAGUUUAUUUGGUUUCCAGGUCGACUUCUGCAGCCGCGUUAUUCUUGCAUUGUCGUGAGAAGAGGCCAGACAGAAUAUGCACAUGCGCCGUGUGUGUCUGACGCCAGUGAAGAUCAGAAGUCAAUGGAUCCCUGGAACCGGAGUGUUGGCUGAUUGUGAGCUGCCAUGUUGGUGCCGUCAAGCCAUCUCUCCAGCCCUAUUAUUGAAGGAAAGAAACUUUAUUUCAUCAAUCUUUAUCACAUGGAUGUGAGCGUGUGAUGCGUACGUGCACAUGCGUGUGUGCAGCGGUGUCUCUGUGCUGCUCGGGGGACAGCUCUGUGGAGCCGAGUCUCACCUCCCAUUUUCAGCUGGGAUUGGGGGGAUUGAACUCAAGCCAUCAAGGUUUCACGGCAUGUACCUUCUCCUGCUGCACCAUGUAGCCAGGCCUGGAUUCAGGAAUAAUUACGAGACCGUCAUACUCCAUGUUUCCACAGCCACCAUGUCACAUGAUCCAAGGAAAAGAUGGGCAGGUGGAAAUAGGACUUGCUGCCAAGGGACCAGCGCAGAACCCAAGCGAGCUUGUAUGGGCAGGACUGCCGUGGUUCCAUGGAAACUUCCAGCCUGGCUUGUGAGAGCCUGAAGGAACCUUGUCAACACUGGCUUAAAUCCUCAUUUUCUAGAUGAGAAAAGCAGGCCCAUGGGAGAGAAGUGACUCACCUACCAGCCUGGCGGUUGACUGGCACCAUUGGAAUGGGGCUCAAGUCUUUCAUUUCUAACUGAAUCCCAGGAGAGUCAUCUCAGGCACGAUGGGCCAGGGUGGGAUGUUUGCAUUGCGCAUGAGCAUGCGCCCUCCCUAUAAGGCGCCGCGGUAAAGAAGCAGAUGGCCUGGGUAGGAAUUCUGACCCCAGCCCUUCUGGGUUUGGUGGCCUUGGUGGCUUUGUGCCAUCCUAUGAAUGGACCCAUACUGAGGCAUUGGUGACUACGGGGGGGUUCCAUUCCAGAUGAACCCACUUUCUAAAGAGGAAUGAAAUAAAUCUCUGCUGCUGGCACCUUAGGAAAGAGCCCAUGGAGCCAGUGUACUGUAAAUGCCGUAAAUGCUGUAAAUGCCGCAAAUGCCGAAUGAGUGAGCGCAGGUGGAGCUCGUUAGCUUGAAUUUGGAUCCAGGGAAGGAUUGGGAAGUUAGCCUCCUGGAACUCUCUAGUGCAAGCUGCAGGAAGUGGCGACUGCGUAUUCUCCACUUGUGUAAGGUUUGUGUUACUCCCUAAACUCAUUCUGAGAUGGACAAAGUGACACGGAUUCUAACCGGAGGCUAAGCUCAGUUCUAUUGGUUCCCAGGGGGGUGGAGGCGAGCGUUCCAGUGAGGUCAUUUGAUCAAUAGUUUGUGAUCUCCAAAGACUCCUAACACACAAGGACUGGAAGCAGAGCCAUAGCUGUUUCUCUGUUUUUGUAUACAGUGGAGGAUGCCAUAUUCUUGGGAGUCUGUGUGUACAUGACCCUCCCUCUGUGUGUGUGUGUGUGUGUGGUGGCUGUGCUUGGGAUGAGAAUCAGGGUCUGAAACUUGCUAGAUGAGUGCCAAACCAUUAAGUUAAAUUCCAAGCCCACCGUUUUUUUGAGACAGGAUCUCACUGUCUAGCCCAGGCUGGUCUUGAGUUCAUAAUCCUCCUGCCUCAGCUUCCUCAGUGAUGGUAUUCUAGGCUAUGCAGUCUUAAUAUAGUAUAUCAAGGAAAUCUCCUAGAAUCCUUAAAGCAAUCCAGGGCCGGUGAGACGGUUCAUGGGGUAAAAUUUGAUGCCCGGGAUCCACGUGGUGGGAGGAGAGAACUGACUCCUGCAAAUGCUUCUCUACUGUAGCACACAUGUAUACUCUUACACACGUGCGUGCACACACACACACACUUAAAAAUGUAAUAUGAGCUUCACAAGGAUGAAGGCUGGUGUUGGGAAUAAAGUAUAAGACAGAUAUUUCCUUUGUUGUGGCUGGAAA